RNAcentral lists this ribosomal RNA (303 nucleotides) under uncultured bacterium. Its description in RNAcentral is "partial 16S ribosomal RNA". It matches the Rfam family "Bacterial small subunit ribosomal RNA", at positions 507 to 807 of the family's 1533-position model. The record is from RNAcentral.
AGCAGUAGCCGCGGUAAGACAGAGGAUGCAAGCGUUAUCCGGAAUGAUUGGGCGUAAAGCGAGCGCAGGCGGUCAAUUAAGUCUGAUGUGAAAGCCCCCGGCUCAACCGGGGAGGGUCAUUGGAAACUGGUUGACUUGAGUGCAGAAGAGGAGAGUGGAAUUCCAUGUGUAGCGGUGAAAUGCGUAGAUAUAUGGAGGAACACCAGUGGCGAAGGCGACUCUCUGGUCUGUAACUGACGCUGAGGCUCGAAAGCGUGGGUAGCAAACAGGAUUAGAUACCCGGGUAGUCCCUGUCUCUUAUAC